UACUGCCAGAGUGAACUGAGAUUGGAGGUGGUUUAUGUUAAUGCUGCAGUCUGUAGACUGUACUUGCUCAGGAUUUUAUCCAGGAGGAUCAGCUGCUCUCGCUGAAGGAUGGUGACCUCUGGCAGAUACACAGGACAGAGACAGCUGCUUCAGCUUUCCCAGCUAAACCUGCUUAAGUUGGUAUUCCUGUGUGUCUUCACAAGAAGAACCAUAUCAUGGUCCUGUUCUGACAACAUAGGCUCAAUGAAAUGAAGAGGAGGAGCAAGUUUUCUGCUGUUGCCAUGCUAUACAAUACCAUGCCAUGGAAAAGUAAAAAUAUAGUCAAUUGCUUUUUCUGCUUGAUAGUCACAAGAUUAAAGAGAACCUAGCACAGCAUGUCCAUAAUUGAGUG
Melopsittacus undulatus (budgerigar) is the source of this 391-nucleotide long non-coding RNA. RefSeq lists it as uncharacterized. The transcript has 3 exons. The record is from RefSeq and is a predicted model, not a curated record. Lineage: Eukaryota; Metazoa; Chordata; Aves; Psittaciformes; Psittaculidae.